CACCCCGCGAAACGCAGUACAGUUGCCGGCGGAGAAACAAAAGAAAUCGUAUCUGCCAAAUACUUUGCAUAUUCCGGCGAAACCUGAUAGCAUAAGAGGCGAUAAGGGCUAUCGGAGCCAUUUAACUACGGUGUGCGGGGUUAUCUGAGGAUACCUAUCUUCGAGCGGAAUCUGAUCGAGUUCAAGGCUGGCCUGGCCAAACAAAUCUUACGAUAAGGGUGGUAUUUCCCGUUACCAACUAAUUGGUUUUUAUAUCUCUCUUUUGGCCUAUAAAUAGUAUAUGUGUUUUAUUUUCAGAUUUUCUCCCCCCGCUUUUCAUUCAUCCGCGGAAUUGAUGUCAGUGGGUUUCCAUGUCUCCGGCGCCGGCGCAACUAUUUCAGCUUCAAAUCAGUUUUCACUUUCGCGCCGCAACUUUCACAAGCCGAGUGCCCCACUCGCUGAGUGCCCCUAAUGCCCGGAGGCGGAUGCAAGGGGCCUGAGUUCGAGGUCAGCGUUUGGUUUGAGCAAAAUUGAAAAAGUUAUUAAGCAUUUUUUAAAUGGCUAAAUUUUUAAGCUACAAAUGUGAAGUUUGACCAAUAAAUUAUUUGCUCCAGUCGC
Drosophila biarmipes is the source of this 597-nucleotide long non-coding RNA. RefSeq lists it as uncharacterized. The record is from RefSeq and is a predicted model, not a curated record. NCBI's taxonomy places the organism in Eukaryota, Metazoa, Arthropoda, Insecta, Diptera, Drosophilidae. The transcript is spliced from 2 exons.